This 315-nucleotide ribosomal RNA is filed under the name Fusarium sp. 14201. Its description in RNAcentral is "eukaryotic LSU rRNA". It matches the Rfam family "Eukaryotic large subunit ribosomal RNA", at positions 1 to 318 of the family's 3401-position model. Lineage: Eukaryota; Fungi; Ascomycota; Sordariomycetes; Hypocreales; Nectriaceae. The record is from RNAcentral.
UUGACCUCGGAUCAGGUAGGAAUACCCGCUGAACUUAAGCAUAUCAAUAAGCGGAGGAAAAGAAACCAACAGGGAUUGCCCUAGUAACGGCGAGUGAAGCGGCAACAGCUCAAAUUUGAAAUCUGGCUCUCGGGCCCGAGUUGUAAUUUGUAGAGGAUGCUUUUGAUGCGGUGCCUUCCGAGUUCCCUGGAACGGGACGCCAUAGAGGGUGAGAGCCCCGUCUGGUUGGAUGCCAAAUCUCUGUAAAGCUCCUUCGACGAGUCGAGUAGUUUGGGAAUGCUGCUCUAAAUGGGAGGUAUAUGUCUUCUAAAGCUA